CAGGAUGACGAUGAGGGCAUUUGGGCAUAAUCUUUGCUGUGACAACCAAAGCUCUAAUGUUGUUUUGAGGGAGAUUCAGUCACUGGAGGAGCACAGCCAUGCCAUGAUGUUGAAACACUACCCGACCAAACAUUUAUUACCUCCACUCAAUCAACACUCAGCAAUGGGACCUUUGUUUAUUUUCUGGGGAAGAGGAGGGGGCACUCAGGUGUGCAGGUCAUGCAGGGAGAUUGACAGCUGAGCAGGAGCAGAUGUCAUCUACUUCCUCCAUACAGGAUCACUGAAUUGGAAGGAAUGAGACAGAUGUUGUUGCCGACGGAGAGACAGAUGUGCUCUGUGUCAGAUUCUUGCUUGGACCGGGCAUGUGAUCAACAUGGCAGCCCUGCAUCAAAGGUCACCUCACCUGUCUGUCACCUGCCGGACACUGCACUAGGCCAACAUCGCCCUCUUCAUUCUCCCAGCAGAGAUCUCAUGACUGUCUGCCAGCCCAGUAUUUGUUCUCCAUCCUUCUUCCUUUGAUUGAUUCAAGAUCAUGGUUGUCUUGCUGUCUGUUUCACCUGCCUGACUGACUCCUCUGGCUCUGGUUGGCCUCCCUCAUCUGACUAUGUCAUGGUUUCUUGAUCCUCACUGCCCUGCUGACACGUCUGGUGACAUCUGACCCCUCUACCUGGCUAUCAUGAUCCUCAGUGUGCAGAGUCUCUUCUGUUGUUUAAAUCAUCUGAUUGUGUCAAUGAGCUAUUUUACCCUUUGUGGCACACAGUGACCUCUUUUUUUUACCUUUAUACACGCCCCACCCAUCAUCCAUUUCUACAGAAGCUUAUGUUCAGCAUUACUUAAAAGCGAUGGAGUGGCCCUUCACUUGCUUUUUUUUUUUCGACGAAAAAAAGUAUAGCAUGUUCCACACAUCUGAUUUGAAUGAGUUUGUUUUUUGUUGUCAUUACUUGUUUCAGAAAGGAAGAGCUUAGUUUACUGAUAGUAUGCCUUUAGCCUUGCCUGCAGCAUCGGGGGUUUCCUUGGCUGCAUGAGCAGGGCCCUCCAGAUCUUGGGCGCGUUUUAGCCUUAAGGCUGUGGCUGCCAUUGACGUUUCUCUUCAUGUUACCUCAUUUUGAGUAGUCAAAAAAAAAAAAA
This is a long non-coding RNA of Larimichthys crocea (large yellow croaker), 1128 nucleotides long. RefSeq lists it as uncharacterized. The record is from RefSeq and is a predicted model, not a curated record. Lineage: Eukaryota; Metazoa; Chordata; Actinopteri; Sciaenidae. The transcript has 3 exons.